Molecule: ribosomal RNA, 457 nt
Filed under: uncultured organism
Description: partial 16S ribosomal RNA
Rfam family: Bacterial small subunit ribosomal RNA
Source: RNAcentral
GUACACUCCUACGGGAGGCAGCAGUGGGGAAUAUUGCACAAUGGGCGCAAGCCUGAUGCAGCGACGCCGCGUGGGGGAUGAAGGCCUUCGGGUUGUAAACUCCUUCCGCUAGGGACGAAGCUUUUUUGUGACGGUACCUAGAUAAGAAGCACCGGCUAACUACGUGCCAGCAGCCGCGGUAAUACGUAGGGUGCGAGCGUUGUCCGGAAUUACUGGGCGUAAAGGGCUCGUAGGUGGUUUGUCGCGUCGUCUGUGAAAUUCUGGGGCUUAACUCCGGGCGUGCAGGCGAUACGGGCAUAACUUGAGUGCUGUAGGGGUAACUGGAAUUCCUGGUGUAGCGGUGAAAUGCGCAGAUAUCAGGAGGAACACCGAUGGCGAAGGCAGGUUACUGGGCAGUUACUGACGCUGAGGAGCGAAAGCAUGGGUAGCGAACAGGAUUAGAAACCCCUGUAGUCCC